CUACCUUUAAUUAUUCUUUGUUGACUAAUUAAAAGUGCAUUCAGUAUUUUAGAGACUUCACCUUGUGUUAAUUAAAGAAAAUCCUCCAGCGGCUUCCAAAAUUAAAUCCGUUGUUGCUUCAAUUAGCGGCAUGCCAAUUAAUCAUCACUAGUUCUAAGUGUAAUUAAGAAAUUCAGUUACUCAGUUGCACUUAGAUGAUUAUGAGAAAAGUCCUAAAUUAAGUAGGUGAUCAGUCUAAUUGAUUUAGAAAAAUUCCUUGAACGAAAAAGCAAGCAACUCAAGAAUGCCAAAUCCAAAUUUAAACAAAAUAAAUCCACAAAUUCCUUGUGCUAGGUUUCAUAAGUGUCUAACUAAGCUUGGAUAUUCUAACCACUCAUAGCAAUUGAAACGAAACAAGAAUCAAUUAUAAUCAGCAUAAAUUACAAACUGAGUCUUUGGAGAAGAAAAUUCCUCCAAUCGUCGAGCUUCCCUUCUUCCGAUUAGCUGAAAUUCUGGACUUCUACUUCAAUUGCUUGUUCGGCUUUUGCUGAUUCAAUUUGAGGCUUUCCCUUUGCUCGGGUGCCACGCAUCUCUACUGCUGUAUUUUUCUCCAUUUUCUGACUCCUUUUUCAGCUGCUGGUCAUCUCUAUUUAUGGGAUAAUAACCUCCAACAAUUCAAAAUUAAAUUUGAUCUUAUCCCCAUUUUCCUAGCUGAACCCAUCGCAUAAAAUUAGCUCCAGCCUACUAGAGUUUUAUUUUCAAUUAAACUCUUCAAGGCUGAGUUAAUUCCUUGAUUCAAUUGGAGUCGGCCACCG
Molecule: long non-coding RNA, 794 nt
Filed under: Gossypium barbadense (sea-island cotton)
Lineage: Eukaryota; Viridiplantae; Streptophyta; Magnoliopsida; Malvales; Malvaceae
Description: long non-coding RNA (GBAR_LNC017255)
Source: RNAcentral